RNAcentral lists this ribosomal RNA (2905 nucleotides) under Enterobacter hormaechei. RNAcentral describes it as "23S ribosomal RNA". It matches the Rfam family "Bacterial large subunit ribosomal RNA". The record is from RNAcentral. Lineage: Bacteria; Pseudomonadati; Pseudomonadota; Gammaproteobacteria; Enterobacterales; Enterobacteriaceae.
GGUUAAGCGACUAAGCGUACACGGUGGAUGCCCUGGCAGUCAGAGGCGAUGAAGGACGUGCUAAUCUGCGAAAAGCGCCGGCGAGGUGAUAUGAACCCUUGACCCGUCGAUGUCCGAAUGGGGAAACCCAGUGUGUUCCGACACACUAUCGUUAACUGAAUACAUAGGUUAACGAGGCGAACCGGGGGAACUGAAACAUCUAAGUACCCCGAGGAAAAGAAAUCAACCGAGAUUCCCCCAGUAGCGGCGAGCGAACGGGGAGCAGCCCGGAGUCUGAAUCAGCUUGUGUGUUAGUGGAACGGUCUGGAAAGUCCGACGGUACAGGGUGAUAGUCCCGUACACGAAAAUGCACAUGCUGUGAACUCGAAGAGUAGGGCGGGACACGUGGUAUCCUGUCUGAAUAUGGGGGGACCAUCCUCCAAGGCUAAAUACUCCUGACUGACCGAUAGUGAACCAGUACCGUGAGGGAAAGGCGAAAAGAACCCCGGCGAGGGGAGUGAAAAAGAACCUGAAACCGUGUACGUACAAGCAGUGGGAGCCUCUUUAUGGGGUGACUGCGUACCUUUUGUAUAAUGGGUCAGCGACUUAUAUUCUGUAGCAAGGUUAACCGUAUAGGGGAGCCGAAGGGAAACCGAGUCUUAACUGGGCGUUAAGUUGCAGGGUAUAGACCCGAAACCCGGUGAUCUAGCCAUGGGCAGGUUGAAGGUUGGGUAACACUAACUGGAGGACCGAACCGACUAAUGUUGAAAAAUUAGCGGAUGACCUGUGGCUGGGGGUGAAAGGCCAAUCAAACCGGGAGAUAGCUGGUUCUCCCCGAAAGCUAUUUAGGUAGCGCCUCGUGAACUCAUCUUCGGGGGUAGAGCACUGUUUCGGCUAGGGGGCCAUCCCGGCUUACCAACCCGAUGCAAACUACGAAUACCGAAGAAUGUUAUCACGGGAGACACACGGCGGGUGCUAACGUCCGUCGUGAAGAGGGAAACAACCCAGACCGCCAGCUAAGGUCCCAAAGUCAUGGUUAAGUGGGAAACGAUGUGGGAAGGCACAGACAGCCAGGAUGUUGGCUUAGAAGCAGCCAUCAUUUAAAGAAAGCGUAAUAGCUCACUGGUCGAGUCGGCCUGCGCGGAAGAUGUAACGGGGCUAAACCAUGCACCGAAGCUGCGGCAGCGACACUAUGUGUUGUUGGGUAGGGGAGCGUUCUGUAAGCCGUUGAAGGUGUGCUGUGAGGCAUGCUGGAGGUAUCAGAAGUGCGAAUGCUGACAUAAGUAACGAUAAAGCGGGUGAAAAGCCCGCUCGCCGGAAGACCAAGGGUUCCUGUCCAACGUUAAUCGGGGCAGGGUGAGUCGACCCCUAAGGCGAGGCCGAAAGGCGUAGUCGAUGGGAAACAGGUUAAUAUUCCUGUACUUGGUGUUACUGCGAAGGGGGGACGGAGAAGGCUAUGUCAGCCGGGCGACGGUUGUCCCGGUUUAAGCAUGUAGGCGGAGGUUCCAGGUAAAUCCGGUACCUUGUUAACGCUGAGGUGUGAUGACGAGGCACUACGGUGCUGAAGUGAUAAAUGCCCUGCUUCCAGGAAAAGCCUCUAAGCAUCAGGUAACACGAAAUCGUACCCCAAACCGACACAGGUGGUCAGGUAGAGAAUACCAAGGCGCUUGAGAGAACUCGGGUGAAGGAACUAGGCAAAAUGGUGCCGUAACUUCGGGAGAAGGCACGCUGAUAGGUAGGUGAAGCCCCUGCGGGCGGAGCUGAAAUCAGUCGAAGAUACCAGCUGGCUGCAACUGUUUAUUAAAAACACAGCACUGUGCAAACACGAAAGUGGACGUAUACGGUGUGACGCCUGCCCGGUGCCGGAAGGUUAAUUGAUGGGGUUAGCGGCAACGCGAAGCUCUUGAUCGAAGCCCCGGUAAACGGCGGCCGUAACUAUAACGGUCCUAAGGUAGCGAAAUUCCUUGUCGGGUAAGUUCCGACCUGCACGAAUGGCGUAAUGAUGGCCAGGCUGUCUCCACCCGAGACUCAGUGAAAUUGAACUCGCUGUGAAGAUGCAGUGUACCCGCGGCAAGACGGAAAGACCCCGUGAACCUUUACUAUAGCUUGACACUGAACACUGGUCCUUGAUGUGUAGGAUAGGUGGGAGGCUUUGAAGCGUGGACGCCAGUCUGCGUGGAGCCGCCCUUGAAAUACCACCCUUUAAUGGCUGGUGUUCUAACGUAGACCCGUGAUCCGGGUUGCGGACAGUGUCUGGUGGGUAGUUUGACUGGGGCGGUCUCCUCCCAAAGAGUAACGGAGGAGCACGAAGGUUGGCUAAUCCUGGUCGGACAUCAGGAGGUUAGUGCAAUGGCAUAAGCCAGCUUGACUGCGAGCGUGACGGCGCGAGCAGGUGCGAAAGCAGGUCAUAGUGAUCCGGUGGUUCUGAAUGGAAGGGCCAUCGCUCAACGGAUAAAAGGUACUCCGGGGAUAACAGGCUGAUACCGCCCAAGAGUUCAUAUCGACGGCGGUGUUUGGCACCUCGAUGUCGGCUCAUCACAUCCUGGGGCUGAAGUAGGUCCCAAGGGUAUGGCUGUUCGCCAUUUAAAGUGGUACGCGAGCUGGGUUUAGAACGUCGUGAGACAGUUCGGUCCCUAUCUGCCGUGGGCGCUGGAGAAUUGAGGGGGGCUGCUCCUAGUACGAGAGGACCGGAGUGGACGCAUCACUGGUGUUCGGGUUGUCAUGCCAAUGGCACUGCCCGGUAGCUAAAUGCGGAAGAGAUAAGUGCUGAAAGCAUCUAAGCACGAAACUUGCCCCGAGAUGAGUUCUCCCUGAGACUUUAAGUCUCCUGAAGGAACGUUGAAGACGACGACGUUGAUAGGUCGGGUGUGUAAGCGCAGCGAUGCGUUGAGCUAACCGAUACUAAUGAACCGUGAGGCUUAACCUU